This is a long non-coding RNA of Chroicocephalus ridibundus (black-headed gull), 625 nucleotides long. RefSeq lists it as uncharacterized. The record is from RefSeq and is a predicted model, not a curated record. NCBI's taxonomy places the organism in Eukaryota, Metazoa, Chordata, Aves, Charadriiformes, Laridae. The transcript has 3 exons.
GAAACAGGGCUUAUUGGCACAGGGAAGGACUACUUGGUGGUCAGCUGUCCUUGAAACAAGUCUGACUGAAAAGGCUGGAAGCACUUGCAGAGCUCUUACAAAACUGGAUUCUAGAUGACCUGCAGCAGAAAACACAGAAUUUGGCAGAGUACUAUGGGAUAAAGCCCUGGAGGGAAGAGGGGCCCAAGAAAGAUGGUUAAUAUUCAAGGAUCACCUCCUCUAAUCUCAGGAGAGAUGCAUCCCAACAAAGAGGAAGUCAGGCAAAAACACCAGGCCUGCGUGGAUGAACAAGGACCUCCUGGACGAUCUCAAACAGAAAAAGGAAGCCUACAGAGGGUGGAGGCAAGGACAGAUAGCCUGGGAGAAAUACAGACAAAUUGCUCUGGUUCAGAAAAUAUUUUUGGGGGCAGAAAGAAAUCUUGUUCAUCCUCCUCCCCUCCACCCCUUCCAUUUGCGGGUCCAGCUACCGAGUGGAGCCUACUCACAAGAUGUCAGUGUGUAUCAAGCAGAUGUUCACUGGCAAGAGAAAAUCAAUGUCUGGCAUGCAGUUAUAUUGUGUUUUCAGACUGCACUGUGCACACUUACUUGAAAAGCAAUGUUUUGUGUCACUAUAUCUGUAUUUCAU